CCCUUAGAUGUUCUGGGCCGCACGCGCGCUACACUGAUGCAUUCAACGAGCCUAGCCUUGACCGAGAGGUCCGGGUAAUCUUUGAAACUGCAUCGUGAUGGGGCUAGAUUAUUGCAAUUAUUAAUCUUCAACGAGGAAUGCCUAGUAAGCGUGAUUCAUCAAAUCGCGUUGAUUACGUCCCUGCCCUUUGUACACACCGCCCGUCGCUCCUACCGAUUGAGUGUGUUGGUGAGGAGUUCGGACUGGCUCUUAGUGGUGGUUCGCCACCACCUAGAGCUGAGAAGUUCUCCAAACCGCCCCACUUAGAGGAAGGAGAAGUCGUAACA
Molecule: ribosomal RNA, 326 nt
Filed under: uncultured eukaryote
Lineage: Eukaryota
Description: partial 18S ribosomal RNA
Rfam family: Eukaryotic small subunit ribosomal RNA
Source: RNAcentral